UCCUGGGAUUAAAGGCGUGAGCCACCAUGCCUGGCCACCUUUUGCUUUAAAACCUCAGCUUUCUCAUUUCAAGGUAGUCUGCCUUGUUCCUCAAAGCCUUUCACAUCUGAAAUGCCCACAUUACUUGAAUCAAACCACAAAGGUGAACAACACAUGGUCCUUAUUAUCUAGGACAGGAAACAUUGUCCCAUGGAGAAAAUAAUGUAUACAACUUAUCAAACAAAAAUAACCAAAAGAGUCAGAAUAUAUUUUUAUUGUUUUUAUUUAAGCCCUUCUUGCACACUGAAGAAUAUAAAGAAUUUAUUCAAGCACAAAACAUAAGGAUGGACCACCUGGAAACACCAAAUCCAAAGUAAUAGAGAUAUAAUUCUGAAAUAGGGAAGUUCAGAUUUCAUUUAUAUAGGCAGAGUUAGAGGAGCUUAUAGCAAGGCUCUGCACAACUUCGGGAGAAUAGCUGAAGGCAGCUGUUAACCUUGAGGCAGAGAGUGAGGAGUAUGUGCAAGGGAGCAAGGGGAAAUUAUCUUGAUCAGGCUUGUUUGUUUGAAGUUAUCCUGAAAUUCACCUUUGAACAUCCAUGUGUGUGACAUUCCCUGAAAGGGGAACAAUAAAUGUUAAUUACCUACAGACUGUGUUUGCCCCAGGCUUUCAGCAUUCUGCCUGCACUGAAUAAAAGCAAGCAGCUCCAGCUUCUUGGGGCUGCACUUUGGCCACUUGAGCCAGGUGUCUCCUAGCUGCUCUUACACACUGCAUACCUGUGUGUGAGUACUCUUUCCAUCCGUCAGUCAGCCAGUCAGUCAGUCAGGGUCUGCGGAACAGAUCUGGCAGGUGGUGCCCAGUGUGAGGAACACUGCAACGGAUCUGGACCAAACCCUCAAAAAUUAAUGUGAAGUGACUGCUCUGUAAGUAAUUGGUCCCCGCUGGGGAUUUCCAAGUUCAAGGGGAUUCUCAAGCUAGGGUUUCAUCAUGGGACAACAGUUGUCAGCUCAACAGCAACAGUAUGUAAAAGUAUUGAAACAGCUGCUUAAAGCUAGCAGAACCUUGGUUUCGGAGCCUCAAUUAAGGGAUGUAAUGCAAACUGUUGUAUUCCAUAGCCCAUGAUUCCCAGGAGAAGGCACACUAGACCUAGGGCUCUGGAAGCAAUUGGGAAGAAAUCUUAAACAACAUCAGGUACAAGGGCAACAGGUCCCAGUAACAUCUUUAAUGUUAUGUGCCUUGGUUAGGGCUGCUUUGGUCCUGCUCUACACAGAAGAGCCUAAAAAAGAAGGGGAGGAAGAACCAUCAUCUACCUUACUGCCUCCUCCUCCUCCUUCAGCCCCGCCAUUACCCGGGUAAAGAUACCAAAGAGGAGACGGAGGUGUUUCCUAAGUCUCCUCCCCCAAUAAAUUGGGAAGAAGACAAGAGAUAUACUACAGUUAUGGGACCCCGUCUUAGGCAAGCAGCAUUAGAAGGGGAGCUCCUGGCUUGUCCCGUGGUGCAAGAUCAACAGGCCAGUUGGGUACAGAAGCCUAUUACUUCCAACACUUUUAAGGAAAUAAGGAAAAGCAUUAGAGAAAAUGGACCUGCUAGCCCAUUCACAAGAGGAUAAUUGAGGCUAUAACAGAUAACUACCAUAUUGACUCCAUGGGACUGGUCAGUGCAAGCUAAAACAACUUUAGAGGCCAGUCAAUACCUCCUCCAGAGGGCAGAAUAUAAUGAAUUGUGCGAACAACAGGCUGACCAGAAUCAAUUGGCAGGACAGAACAUAGCUGCUGUGCUCCAGGGGAGGGGUCUCUAUAUUAAUAUAUAACAACAAUUAAAUUUUGUCCCUCAAGCCUAUGCGCAACUGUCUUUGUGCACUCACGGGCCUAGGACCAAAUUCCCAAAGGUGGAGUUCAACAGAGAUCUUUUAUAAAUGUUCCACAAGGGCCUCAGGAGCCAUUUGUUGAAUUUAUCAAUCGGUUAACCCAGGCACUUAAGAGACAAAUCAGUCAUGCCAAGGCCGCUGAUAUCUUAUUGUUGUAAUUGGCCUAUGAAAAUGCUAAUGUGGAUUGCCAGCAAGCAAUGCAAGCAGUCAGAGGGAAAGCAGCUACAGUAGGGAACUCAUAUGAGCAUGUCAGCUGGUGGGGACUGAAACACACAAAGCCAGAAUAUUGGCUAUGGCAUUAAAGCCUCAAAAAGAAAAAGGGAUAAAAAUCCAAAUUGUUUUCAAUGAGAAAAGCCAGGUCAUAUGAAACAGGAAUGCCCCAAUAGUAAAGACCAAAGUAACUCAGGAAAAGAACCCCCUUCUAUAUAAGAACAAGCCAUAGUGGAACGUGCCCACUCCACCCUUAAAAAUGUGCUUAAAAAACAAAAAGGGAGAAUACGAGUAAGGACCCUACAACACUACUAGCACAAGCCUUGUUUACCCUUAACUUCUUAAAUUUAGCCUUACUUACCCUUAGCUUCCUAAAUUUAAACAAUAAAUUUCAAUCAGCCAUAGAAAAGCACUUUGCAAAAACCUUUCAGAAUAUGAAACCUUUAGUUUUUAUAGAAAGAUCUACAUAGUAACCUAUGGUGCGGUCCAAAUGAUUUGUUAACGUGGGGAAAAGGAUAUGCUUGUGUUCACACUCCCUCAGGUCCUCUUUGGAUUUCUGUGCGACACAUCAAACCAUACCAUGGCGUGGCUGGAACCCAACCCGGUACCAAAAAUAAAGGAAAUGACCCUGCAGGACCCGCAGCCCCAGAACGAUGCGGCUUCCACGGACAACAGAGGCCCUGGACAUUAUGCUGAAGAAGACAACUCAGGAAGCUGAGCGAAUCCCGCUCCAGAUACAAACAUCAUUCACUCCAGAUAAUCUGUUCCUUGCUAUGCUCUUUGUUGUACAUUGCAACACUCAUAGGGUAUUGGUUUUUCUCUCACUCUGCCUGCAACUCGUACCUGCUACACUCUAUUAGGCCCAUCUUCUAGAUCCACCUUUCUUCUGCCCUGUUACUUGGGCAGACGCCCCCUUCCCAGUUUCUAACAACGUAACUGCUUUGGUAGGAGGGAUUAACAUACCCCUGGUGGGGUUCCUCAGUAACAGCCCUAUAGAACAAUGUGCAAAAACACCUCUCCUGGAUAGACCCCCACUCCUGGGGGUAACUCUUUGAUUGGAAAAGAAUAUUACAUGAUUAUAUUAUAUAAUAAUAUAAUAUUACAAUGAUUAUACUCAUGCUUGUCUUAUGUUAUCUACUGCUUCUAGGAUGCAAAGCUGCAACACAAGCUGGAACCGCUGCACUUGUCAAGCCUGUCAUCGUACACAUCUGUAUUCUUCAAUCAACAAAACUUGAUGCAAAAAACAAAAGGGGGAGAUAUAGGAGAUCAGUCAGAGUGGUAGGAGAAACUAUAAGGAAAGGAGCAGACCUUCUGAAAGGUCAGAAGGCUGCUCUUACACACUGCCUACCUGUGUAACAAAAUGGGGGCUUCUGCACAGCAACUUCAGAAGAUAAGCAGGUUUUCUGGAAAUGGAUUGAGAGCAAGAGAUGACAUCUAAAAUCAAAGACACUGCUGGGGCUCAGAAACUGAUAUCCCAAAAUAUGGCACUAUGACAUCCUAAACUGAAGAAGCUACAAGGUCUCUGACCUUCUCCCCACCCCUCCUGUCUCUCAAUUCUCUGUGUCUCCCAAAGCACAGGAUGAAGUUGUUUUCAGAAGUUCCUUAUCUGCCUAAAGUCCAAACCUGCCAAAGAAUACAAUUAUCUUUAGUCUCUAUCCUGAGUUUUCAUUAAAUGAACUAAUACCACAGGAAGAAACACAAGCCUGUCAACAAGCCUAGACAGAUUCUGUCACAACCCACUGCCUACUCUGCAGCCCUAACAGACAUUGUCCCAGGCUCUUGCAUGUUCUUCAAGGCCAUUGAAUUCCCCUAAAAGUCAUUUAUUAUACCCCUAAAAACACUUCUCAAGCUCCCAUUUCCCUAGGAAGUAGGAUAAACAUCUAUGCCCAAUUGCAAUAUUGGGUGAUCACUCUAUCCAACCCCCUCUGCAGUAUACACGUUAAUAAAUUCAUAUGCUUUUUCUCUUAUUAAUUCUGGGCAUUAAUUUAACCUUUUUCUUCUUUUGGGCCCACGUUGAAACCUCUUUUUUCAACUUCUCUUCCAAUUAGGUGUGGCCUUUUAGCUAAGUUCCUGCCAAUGGAACAUAAAUACAAGUAAAGAUUGACAUUUCCAGGCCUAGGACAUAACAACUUUCCACGAAGGAUUUUUCCAUCUUCUUUCCCUUUGCAGGGCAAAUGUGGAAGCCACAUUUAAGACCGCUAAGCCACAAAGACAGAGGGCAUUUGGGUUCCAGAACUACUGCUGGAAGAAAGAGGGAACUGUUGAUCUAGAAUACCCUUUUUGAACCUCAUAUCCACAGAAAAUAAACUUGUAUUUAUCUUAACUAGUAUGCUCUGCACCAAA
This is a non-coding RNA of Chlorocebus sabaeus (green monkey), 4396 nucleotides long. The record is from RefSeq and is a predicted model, not a curated record. NCBI's taxonomy places the organism in Eukaryota, Metazoa, Chordata, Mammalia, Primates, Cercopithecidae.